Molecule: transfer RNA, 73 nt
Filed under: Stathmonotus gymnodermis
Lineage: Eukaryota; Metazoa; Chordata; Actinopteri; Blenniiformes; Labrisomidae
Description: tRNA-Leu
Source: RNAcentral
GCUUCUAAAGGAUAAUAGCUUAUCCGCUGGUCUUAGGCCCCAGAAACUCUUGGUGCAAGUCCAAGUAGUAGUA